RNAcentral lists this ribosomal RNA (484 nucleotides) under uncultured bacterium. RNAcentral describes it as "partial 16S ribosomal RNA". It matches the Rfam family "Bacterial small subunit ribosomal RNA", at positions 30 to 507 of the family's 1533-position model. The record is from RNAcentral.
AUUGAACGCUGGCGGCAGGCCUAACACAUGCAAGUCGAGCGGAUGAAGGGAGCUUGCUCCUGGAUUCAGCGGCGGACGGGUGAGUAAUGCCUAGGAAUCUGCCUGGUAGUGGGGGAUAACGUCCGGAAACGGGCGCUAAUACCGCAUACGUCCUGAGGGAGAAAGUGGGGGAUCUUCGGACCUCACGCUAUCAGAGGAGCCUAGGUCGGAUUAGCUAGUUGGUGGGGUAAAGGCCUACCAAGGCGACGAUCCGUAACUGGUCUGAGAGGAUGAUCAGUCACACUGGAACUGAGACACGGUCCAGACUCCUACGGGAGGGAGCAGUGGGGAAUAUUGGACAAUGGGCGAAAGCCUGAUCCAGCCAUGCCGCGUGUGUGAAGAAGGUCUUCGGAUUGUAAAGCACUUUAAGUUGGGAGGAAGGGCAGUAAGUUAAUACCUUGCUGUUGUGACGUUACCAACAGAAUAAGCACCGGCUAACUUCGUG